GACGAACGCUGGCGGCGUGCUUAACACAUGCAAGUCGAACGGAAAGGCCCUGCUUGCGGGGUACUCGAGUGGCGAACGGGUGAGUAACACGUGGGUGAUCUGCCCUGCACUUCGGGAGAAGCCUUGGAAACUGGGUCUAAUACCGGAUAGAAGCGAUCUUGAGGGUGAUGGUGGGAAAGUUUUUUGGGUGUGGGAGGAGCUCGCGGCCUAUCUGCUUGUUGGUGGGGUAAUGGCCUACCAAGGCGGUGACGGGUAGGCGGCCGGAGAGGGUGGACGGCCAAAUUGGGGAUGGGGAACCGGCCAAGCCCCCAAGGGGGGGAGGCAGGGGGGAAUUUGGAACAAGGGGCGGAGGCUGGAUGCGCCAAGCCGGGGGGCGGAAGGACGGCUUUCGGUUGUAAACCCCUUUCCGUAUGGAACGAAGUUUUUGUGACGGUAACUAGAUAAGAAGCACCGGCUAACUACGUG
Molecule: ribosomal RNA, 465 nt
Filed under: uncultured bacterium
Lineage: Bacteria
Description: partial 16S ribosomal RNA
Rfam family: Bacterial small subunit ribosomal RNA
Source: RNAcentral